Molecule: ribosomal RNA, 468 nt
Filed under: uncultured bacterium
Lineage: Bacteria
Description: partial 16S ribosomal RNA
Rfam family: Bacterial small subunit ribosomal RNA
Source: RNAcentral
GACGAACGCUGGCGGCGUGCUUAACACAUGCAAGUCGAACGGUGAAGCUCCAGCUUUCUGGAGUGGAUCAGUGGCGAACGGGUGAGUAACACGUGAGCAACCUGCCCCUGACUCUGGAAUAAGCGCUGGAAACGGCGUCUAAUACUGGAUACGAGAAGGGUCCGCAUGGGCACUUUCUGGAAAGUUCUUCGGUUGGGGAUGGGCUCGCGGCCUAUCAGCUUGUUGGUGAGGUAAUGGCUCACCAAGGCGACGACGGGUAGCCGGCCUGAGAGGGCGACCGGCCACACUGGGACUGAGACAGGGAGCAGACGGCUACGGGAGGCAGCAGUGGGGAAUAUUGCACAAUGGGCGAAAGCCUGAUGCAGCGACGCCGCGUGAGGGAUGACGGCCUUCGGGUUGUAAACCUCUUUCAGCAGGGAAGAAGCGAAAGUGACGGUACCUGCAGAAGAAGCACCGGCUAACUACGUG